Non-coding RNA from Macaca mulatta (Rhesus monkey), 967 nucleotides. Lineage: Eukaryota; Metazoa; Chordata; Mammalia; Primates; Cercopithecidae. The record is from RefSeq and is a predicted model, not a curated record.
ACUUGACAAAAGGAGUAUGUAUUCCCGUGUGCCAGAGUGCCAGGUCACCACAUACAAUUAUGUUGGGUUUGCAUAUUUGAUGAUGUGUCGCUACCAGGAUGCCAUCUGGGUCUUCGCCAACAUCCUCCUCUAGAUCCAGAGGACCAAGAGCAUGUUUCAGAGGACCACAUACAAGUAUGAGAUGAUUAACAAGCAGAAUGAGCAGAUGCAUGCGCUACUGGCCAUUGCUCUCACGAUGUACCCCAUAGGUAUCGAUGAGAGUAUUCACCCCCAGCUACAGAAGAAAUAUGGGGACAAGAUGCUGCACCUGCAGAAAGGUGACCCACAAGUCUAUGAAGAACUUUUCAGUUACUCCUGCCCCAAGUUCCUGUCACCUGUAUUGCCCAACUACGAUAAUGUGCACCCCAGCUACCACAAAGAGCCCUUCCUGCAGCAGUUGAAGGUGUUUUCUGAAGUACAGCAGCAGGCCCACCUUUCAACCAUCCCCGGCUUCCUCAAGCUUUACAUCACCAUGCCUGUGGCCAAGCUGGCUGGCUUCCUGGACCUCACAGAGCAGGAGUUCAGGAUCCAGCUUCCUGUCUUCAAACACAAGAUGAAGAACCUGGUGUGGACCAGCGGCAUCACAACCCUGGAUGGUGAAUUUAGUCAGCCUCAGAGGUUAACUUCUACAUUGAUAAUGACAUGAUCCGCAUCGCAGACACCAAGGUCGCCAGGUGCUAUGGGGAUUUCUUCAUCCAUCAGAGCCACAAAUUCGAAGAGCUUAAUCGAACUCUGAAGAAGAUGGGACAGAGACCCUGACAACAUUUACACACAUUAUUCAGGAACCUGUUUUGAUAUAUUAUAGGCAGGAAGUGUUUUUGCUACCAUGAAACCUUUACCUAGAUCAGCCAUCAGCCUGUCAACUCAGUUAACAAGUUAAGGACCAAAGUGUUUCAAGUGGAUAUCAGUAAAGGAUCUUUGGAGCCAG